Molecule: microRNA precursor, 166 nt
Filed under: Amborella trichopoda
Lineage: Eukaryota; Viridiplantae; Streptophyta; Magnoliopsida; Amborellales; Amborellaceae
Description: miR167 stem-loop (atr-MIR167)
Gene: atr-MIR167
Rfam family: MIR167 microRNA precursor family (bases 33-124)
Source: miRBase by way of RNAcentral
AAGUUUGUUUCUUUCUCUCUCUAAAGAUUUGUGAGCAUCAGGGGUUGAAGCUGCCAGCAUGAUCUGAUCCCUCCUCUAAAACCCUAGAAAUCAGAUCAUGCGAGCAGUUUCAUCCGCUGGUUCUUGCACUGUAUCUCCUCAUAACCCCUGAGAAAGCUACAAGGUU